UACGAACUGUGCGAACGUUAUUCGGAAUCACUGGGCUUACAGGGUGCGUAGGCGGCUACUCAAGUCAGGUGUGAAAGCCCCCGGCUCAACCGGGGAACUGCGCUUGAAACUGGGUGGCUCGAGUCAGCUAGAGGUGCACGGAACUUCCAGUGGAGCGGCGAAAUGUGUUGAUAUUGGAAGGAACACCAGAGGCGUAAGCGGUGCACUGGGGCUGGUCUGACGCUGAGGCACGAAAGCCAGGGGAGCGAACGGG
Molecule: ribosomal RNA, 253 nt
Filed under: uncultured bacterium
Lineage: Bacteria
Description: partial 16S ribosomal RNA
Rfam family: Bacterial small subunit ribosomal RNA
Source: RNAcentral